Lycium barbarum (goji berry) is the source of this 838-nucleotide long non-coding RNA. RefSeq lists it as uncharacterized. The record is from RefSeq and is a predicted model, not a curated record. The transcript is spliced from 5 exons. Lineage: Eukaryota; Viridiplantae; Streptophyta; Magnoliopsida; Solanales; Solanaceae.
UUUGUUCCAUUGCUAAAUCGCUACAUAUGGUUUAAGAGUUUAUUCUGGGGCACAGUUGAGAUAACAAAGUCUGAAACAUAUUUCCCCCCUCUUGCUCUCCUCCUAGGGCUUUCUUGUCGCCUCUGUGGUAGCUCGUCCUCUCCGACAACUCGCCCCUCUCCAACAGCUCGCCCCUCUCCGGCAGCUCGUCCCUUUCCCUAUAGGGUUUUACAAAGUCUCAGAUUUUUUAGUGGAAGUGACGGUAUUGCACUUUGAAGUUCUUUGCUGGCUAUCUCGAUGGUAUUCCACAAGGACGACUAGCUCUUGAUUUCAGGUGUCAGAGAAUUGUAGACUUGUCGAUGCGUAUCAAAAUUAACCUUAUGGUGAUAUAACUGUGAAAGUUACUUCCAAACUGAAGGAUCAAUUUUAAGUUGAGGUUAUUGUGUAGAUCUAUAUGUAGAGAGGAAGAUUGGAAUUAUAUGUUGAUUGCUGCAAUUGAAGGAUGAUUCUGAAAUUUCAAAGACUUAUUGCUUAACAAUUCAGGAAGGAUAGAGCUAAAAGAUUGUUAAGCAACAGUGAUCACAAGAGCAAUUACAGUAAGAUGAGAUGGAUAUUACAACUCGGAUGUAUUACGAGACCGUGGGAGGAUAGAUGAGGAGAAACACCAUUAUGGCCUCGGGUCCUUCCGAUCCGGAUGAACAUCAAUGUCCAACACUUCAUUAAUUAGCUUUGUUUUUUAGGCUCUAUGCUAUUAGUUGAAGAAAGAUUAUGCACGUUGUUGAUGCUUUAGGAUUUAUGUAUCCUUGGAUCUUCUUGUUAAUCUUUAAAUUACUAUCUAUAUGAAAUCAGGUUCUUGUAA